CGGCAAGUGGCUUGGUUGGGGCCUCAGCUCUUCGAUGUUAGGCUUGUCUGCGAGGUCUGUGGUAUUAGGCCCGGACUAUCAGCAUCCCUUCAUCAGAUGGAUAGGAGUAGCGAUAAUUGUCGCCUAGAUGGUGGCUUCAGACUUACUGUUAUAUUUCUUUGUAAGGUCUUUUAUGAAUAAUUAAUAAAAUGGCUGCAUGCAUCGUCCAGAUGCAGAGGCCGGGGCCGAUCCUCCUUUUCUAAAAAAA
This 247-nucleotide long non-coding RNA is filed under the name Hordeum vulgare. RNAcentral describes it as "long non-coding RNA (HVUL_LNC017362)". Lineage: Eukaryota; Viridiplantae; Streptophyta; Magnoliopsida; Poales; Poaceae. The record is from RNAcentral.